RNAcentral lists this long non-coding RNA (516 nucleotides) under Musa acuminata (dwarf banana). Its description in RNAcentral is "long non-coding RNA (MACU_LNC009897)". The record is from RNAcentral. Lineage: Eukaryota; Viridiplantae; Streptophyta; Magnoliopsida; Zingiberales; Musaceae.
CUAGAUGUCAUGUUCAAUAAAUUCUUGCUGAAAAUCUCACAUAGGACUUCUGUGCAAAAAACUCUAAAAUUUCCCAUGUGAAGGCACUUAUGUUAUACCAGUUUAAUUACCAUACAAAAACAUGGUUGUAGACUCAUGGAGUAUUAAAAGGUAGCCUACAACAAAUUUGGAAAAAUAACAGACAAAAAUCAGAAAGGAGAAUAUAAAUUAUGGAUACGAAGUUAAAAUAGCAGCAAAUUUUGUACAUAAUUAAACAUGAGUGAAGUUCUAAAAGAAUAUAAAUACCAGCUUUUGAUAAAAUUACCAAAUUAUACACUUUUGCAAAAAUAUCUAAAAAUAUAUAAGCUAAAAAUAUAUAAGCUAAAGUCAUGUUUCUAGUAUGUAGAAAUAGCAAGAGAGAGCAUAACGAAAAUCAAAUUCUCAUUCAUACUGAAAAGAUAGGGGCAAAGGAAGCUCACCUUAUUAGUUUAUGACCAAAAAGAAAGGGGCAAAGACAAUUGAUGUAUUAAAGGCAAA